AGGACGAACGCUGGCGGCGUGCCUAACACAUGCAAGUCGAACGAGGCUUAUCCGGUAGCAAUACCGGAGACUGCCUAGUGGCGAACGGGUGAGUAGCACGUGAGCAACCUGCCCCGAAGACUGGGAUAACACCGGGAAACCGGUGCUAAUACCAGAUGCCCCCACCGGAUCGCAUGAUCUGGUGAGGAAAGGAUUCCGCUUCGGGAGGGGCUCGCGGCCUAUCAGCUAGUUGGUGAGGUAACGGCUCACCAAGGCUUCGACGGGUAGCUGGUCUGAGAGGACGAUCAGCCACACUGGGACUGAGACACGGCCCAGACUCCUACGGGAGGCAGCAGUGGGGAAUCUUGCACAAGUGGGCGCAAGCCUGAUGCAGCAACGCCGCGUGAGGGACGAAGGUUUUCUGAGUUGUAAACCUUCUUUCAGCAGGGACGAUUGUGACGGUACCUGCAGAAGACGCCCCGGCAACUACGUGCCAGCAGCCGCGGUAAU
RNAcentral lists this ribosomal RNA (489 nucleotides) under uncultured bacterium. RNAcentral's name for it is "SSU rRNA". It matches the Rfam family "Bacterial small subunit ribosomal RNA", at positions 26 to 524 of the family's 1533-position model. The record is from RNAcentral.